This 452-nucleotide ribosomal RNA is filed under the name uncultured bacterium. RNAcentral's name for it is "bacterial SSU rRNA". It matches the Rfam family "Bacterial small subunit ribosomal RNA", at positions 340 to 786 of the family's 1533-position model. The record is from RNAcentral.
UACGGAAGGCAGCGGGGGGAAUAUUGCACAAUGGGCGCAAGCCUGAUGCAGCCAUGCCGCGUGUAUGAAGAAGGCCUUCGGGUUGUAAAGUACUUUCAGUCGUGAGGAAGGUGUUAAGGUUAAUAACCUUAGCAAUUGACGUUAGCGACAGAAGAAGCACCGGCUAACUCCGUGCCAGCAGCCGCGGUAAUACGGAGGGUGCGAGCGUUAAUCGGAAUUACUGGGCGUAAAGGGCACGCAGGCGGUUAAUUAAGUUGGAUGUGAAAUCCCCGGGCUUAACCUGGGAAUGGCAUUCAAGACUGGUUAGCUAGAGUCUUGUAGAGGGGGUAGAAUUCCAUGUGUAGCGGUGAAAUGCGUAGAGAUGUGGAGGAAUACCGGUGGCGAAGGCGGCCCCUGGACAAAGACUGACGCUCAUGUGCGAAAGCGUGGGGAGCAAACAGGGAUUAGAUACC